RNAcentral lists this small RNA (309 nucleotides) under Erinaceus europaeus (western European hedgehog). RNAcentral describes it as "7SK RNA (ENSEEUG00000023193.1)". The record is from RNAcentral. Lineage: Eukaryota; Metazoa; Chordata; Mammalia; Eulipotyphla; Erinaceidae.
AGAUGUGAGAGCCAGCUGGCUGUGACAUCAGCUAUCAUAUUAGUCAGCAGUAUUGAUUUCCCUGAACUGGCUGCCUGAAUGGGCACACACACUGCUCUAAGUGCAUCUCUCCCAAAAUUGCCUGCUUGGGAAGGCUGAGAAGAAGACCUUUAAUGAAUAGAGACAAACUGUCUUAAGUCUAAAAUAUAUUAGUAACCAAGUUGCCCUGAAAAAAUCUCCAAAUAAUUUCUGAAGAUGCAAAUAUUCCCCCCCAUGAGGCUGUUGCAUAUAACCUCAAAGCAUAGAGCAUCUGCACACAUCAGUAGAUCU